CAGUAGCCGCGGGAAUACGUAGGGUGCGAGCGUUAAUCGGAAUUACUGGGCGUAAAGCGAGCGCAGACGGUUAUUUAAGCAGGAUGUGAAAUCCCCGGGCUUAACCUGGGAACUGCGUUCUGAACUGGAUAGCUAGAGUGUGUCAGAGGGGGGUAGAAUUCCACGUGUAGCAGUGAAAUGCGUAGAGAUGUGGAGGAAUACCGAUGGCGAAGGCAGCCCCCUGGGAUAACACUGACGUACAUGCUCGAAAGCGUGGGUAGCAAACAGGAUUAGAUACCCCGGUAGUCCCUGUCUCUUAUAC
RNAcentral lists this ribosomal RNA (301 nucleotides) under uncultured bacterium. Its description in RNAcentral is "partial 16S ribosomal RNA". It matches the Rfam family "Bacterial small subunit ribosomal RNA", at positions 509 to 807 of the family's 1533-position model. The record is from RNAcentral.